Molecule: unclassified non-coding RNA, 171 nt
Filed under: uncultured Ascomycota
Lineage: Eukaryota; Fungi; Ascomycota
Description: sequence contains ITS2
Source: RNAcentral
CCACCCUCGGGCCCUGCCCGGUGUUGGGGGCCUGCGCCCGCGCAGCCCCCGAAAGACAGUGGCGGACUCGUCUGGUCCCGAGCGUAGUAGCAACACCUCGCUCCGGGCGCUCCAGGCGUGCACGGCCAGAAGCCGCGUCCCCCCCCAGCGGGAGGGCGCACUCUUCUAAGG